Molecule: ribosomal RNA, 418 nt
Filed under: uncultured bacterium
Lineage: Bacteria
Description: bacterial SSU rRNA
Rfam family: Bacterial small subunit ribosomal RNA
Source: RNAcentral
GUGGGGAAUCUUGCGCAAUGGCCGAAAGGCUGACGCAGCGACGCCGCGUGUGGGAGGAAGCUCUUCGGGGUGUAAACCACUGUUGCCCGGGACGAACAGCCUCUUUCGAGGGGCCUGACGGUACCGGGUGAGGAAGCACCGGCUAACUCCGUGCCAGCAGCCGCGGUAAUACGGAGGGUGCGAGCGUUGUCCGGAAUCAUUGGGCGUAAAGGGCGCGUAGGUGGCCCGGCAGUUCGUGGUGAAAGCGCGGGGCUCAACCCUGCGUCGGCCAUGAAUACUGCUGGGCUUGAGCACUGUAGAGGCAGGCGGAAUUCCGGGUGUAGCGGUGGAAUGCGUAGAGAUCCGGAAGAACACCGGUGGCGAAGGCGGCCUGCUGGGCAGUAGCUGACACUGAGGCGCGACAGCGUGGGGAGCAAAC